GGGUCAGUAGGUUGGUCGUGCCACCGGUACGUACUGGUCUCACUGAUUCCUCCUUCCUGAAGAACCGUAAUGCCAUUAAUUUGGUGUUGCGGGGGAACAGGACUGUUACUUUGAAAAAAUUAGAGUGUUUAAAGCAAGCUAACGCCUGAAUACAUUAGCAUGGAAUAAUGAAAUAGGACGAUCGAUCCUAUUUUGUUGGUUUCUAGGAUUGACGUA
Molecule: ribosomal RNA, 216 nt
Filed under: Glomeromycotina sp.
Lineage: Eukaryota; Fungi; Glomeromycota
Description: partial small subunit ribosomal RNA
Rfam family: Eukaryotic small subunit ribosomal RNA (bases 40-216)
Source: RNAcentral